AGGAGGCAGCAGUGAGGAAUUUUGGACAAUGGACGCAAGUCUGAUCCAGCCAUGCCGCGUGCGGGAAGAAGGCCUUCGGGUUGUAAACCGCUUUUGUCAGGGAAGAAACGCUCUGGGCUAAUAUCCUGGGGUAAUGACGGUACCUGAAGAAUAAGCACCGGCUAACUACGUGCCAGCAGCCGCGGUAAUACGUAGGGUGCAAGCGUUAAUCGGAAUUACUGGGCGUAAAGCGUGCGCAGGCGGUCCCAUAAGACAGAUGUGAAAUCCCCGGGCUCAACCUGGGAACUGCAUUUGUGACUGUGGGGCUAGAGUACGGUAGAGGGGGAUGGAAUUCCGCGUGUAGCAGUGAAAUGCGUAGAUAUGCGGAGGAACACCGAUGGCGAAGGCAAUCCCCUGGACCUGUACUGACGCUCAUGCACGAAAGCGUGGGGAGCAAACAGGAUUAGAUACCCUGGUAGU
This 459-nucleotide ribosomal RNA is filed under the name uncultured bacterium. RNAcentral's name for it is "bacterial SSU rRNA". It matches the Rfam family "Bacterial small subunit ribosomal RNA", at positions 343 to 794 of the family's 1533-position model. The record is from RNAcentral.